RNAcentral lists this microRNA precursor (102 nucleotides) under Marmota monax (woodchuck). The record is from RNAcentral. Lineage: Eukaryota; Metazoa; Chordata; Mammalia; Rodentia; Sciuridae.
AGUCGAAUUUCUGGGGCAUAUGGUAACUCUGCCUAACCAUUUGAGGUACUGCCAAAUUGUUUUUCAAAGUGGCUACACCAUUUUUACAUUCUCACUAGCAAU